GUGAUUACUCUGAUUACUGAUCAUCAUGGCCAACCAUAUGGAACCGGUUGCUCGGAGUUAUGUCACACCUUGAUGAGCGCAACUCGCACCCUAUUCCCCUGACAACUGAAUGGGAGCAUCUCCACUACUGAAUUGAUGAAUCAAUAUGAAUAUAUUUGGGAGUUGAUUAGACACGGGAUAAGCACGCACUGAAAGCGUGGAGAACUUGGCGGGGUAUAAAAUCUGGUGCCAGCAUCAACAGUCAGCUGGACACUUGGACUGCACGGGUUGCACGUGAGAGAUUGAACAUGGUAUCCUGGAACACUCUCGUGGUCAACAGCUUGUUGGUGGCUGCUGUCUGCCUGGCAACGGCGACAGCCAGUAUCUUUCCAGAUGAAGACUUUGGCUACAGACACUACGCAAAGAGGGAAAUCAGCUCUGAUUGUUUGAACUGCGCGCGCACAUACAACUACUUCGUGUGUCUCCGAUGCUGGAGCAGCAAGUAUGCCGUUAUUCCAUUUCACUCAAAGAGGUCGUCUGAUACGUCUGCAAUUGAAUUCACCGGAAGUGAGCCUAUGUCACGUGACAGGCGCUUCGUCGGCUGUAACUGCUGUUUGGUCAGCCGGUUCACCAACUCCUACUGCUGUGACGUAUGCGGCAGCUCCAGUAAGAGAGCGGCGAAGAGGAGUGACGGCGUAAGUCUAACGUCAGAACCGGAGAAGCGGAUGAACCCAGCUUGCCUCUGUUGCAGCAGAUCUGGCUCCCUAGGAUGCUGCGAAGACUGUAUGUCAAGCUUUGUUCAAUACUGAAACUGAGAACCGUAUAUUUACAUGAAAACUUUGACGUAACUUGAGAUUGACUGAAGGAAACCGAUUCUAAUUCCGUAUUACAGCAGCAAGACUCAUUUGAAAGCGAUGUCACCGUAUCGUAAGCUCAAACAAGCAUGGCAGAUGAAUAUUUUAGAGGACAAAUGAUGGUACAUCUGAGCAAUAGAAACUGCUAGGUCAUGUAUUCACUCGCCCCGUUUCUCUAACGGUAAUGAAGGUCUUAAAGUCAGAGCUAACAUUACCUGCUAAUGACAACGUGGAUAAUGGCUUGACUAAUGUCGAAGAUGGAUAUGGAAUCGUCAUAUAUCAUGCAGAACACGUCACUUGGGGCACGAGUUCUCGAAACUAUCCUAAAUCAUGAGCAUAUACAAGUCAAUCACAUUGUGUCGGUAACUAUCACUUCAUGUUUUACCUGUGGAACUUCUACUUUGACUGUUUCGGUAGAAGGUAUCUUUCGUGUUUUACUCGCGUACAUGUAUAUUAUAUGAUUUUGUAAAUAAUGUGUGUGUUUCCGCGCUCAGAAGUAAAUGUUUUGGCGUAUCGAUAUUUCUGAAUUUCUGAAGACAUGUCUCGAAUUUGAAAAUAAUCUUGGUCACAUUUGAAACAAUGCUUGUAAGUUCGUGAUGUGUGCACUGUUGAGUUUAGAGCACUAGUUUAACGUAUUUGGGAAAAGUAUCAUGUGAUAAUUUUGUCCGGUCAAUAAAACCAAAUGUUUUCACAGUAUAAGGUGGAUAUAUAUGUAAUUUUAUUUGUAAUACAUAUUAGUCAGUGGUUUGUAAUAUGGUAUCCGAAAUGUUCAUUCACCACAUGUAUUGUAUUCGUCUAUCAUUGUAACUUGUGUAAACCUAUAUGAAUGGCAUUUAUUAAAGAUAUUUUUUCAAAACG
This is a long non-coding RNA of Haliotis rubra (blacklip abalone), 1691 nucleotides long. RefSeq lists it as uncharacterized. Lineage: Eukaryota; Metazoa; Mollusca; Gastropoda; Lepetellida; Haliotidae. The record is from RefSeq and is a predicted model, not a curated record. The transcript has 2 exons.